GGGCCUGUAGCUCAGUUGGUAGAGCAGUCGACUCUUAAUCGACUUGUCCAAGGUUCGAGUCCUUGCAGGCCCACCA
This 76-nucleotide transfer RNA is filed under the name Rhodovibrio salinarum. RNAcentral's name for it is "tRNA-Lys". It matches the Rfam family "tRNA". Rfam says of the family: Transfer RNA (tRNA) molecules are approximately 80 nucleotides in length. Their secondary structure includes four short double-helical elements and three loops (D, anti-codon, and T loops). Further hydrogen bonds mediate the characteristic L-shaped molecular structure. tRNAs have two regions of fundamental functional importance: the anti-codon, which is responsible for specific mRNA codon recognition, and the 3' end, to which the tRNAs corresponding amino acid is attached (by aminoacyl-tRNA synthetases). tRNAs cope with the degeneracy of the genetic code in two manners: having more than one tRNA (with a specific anti-codon) for a particular amino acid; and 'wobble' base-pairing, i.e. permitting non-standard base-pairing at the 3rd anti-codon position. RNAcentral also lists the same sequence under 1 other name. The record is from RNAcentral. Lineage: Bacteria; Pseudomonadati; Pseudomonadota; Alphaproteobacteria; Rhodospirillales; Rhodovibrionaceae.